CAAAGAGAGGUUUCUCUGCGUGCUUGAGGUAUAAUGCAAGUACGGUCGUUUUAGGUUUUACCAACUGCGGCUAAUCUUUUUUAUACUGAGCGUAUUGGAACGUUAUCGAUAAGAAGAGAGCGUCUAGGCGAACAAUGUUCUUAAAGUUUGACCUCAAAUCAGGUAGGAGUACCCGCUGAACUUAAGCAUAUCAAUAAGCGGAGGAAAAGAAACCAACCGGGAUUGCCUUAGUAACGGCGAGUGAAGCGGCAAAAGCUCAAAUUUGAAAUCUGGUACCUUCGGUGCCCGAGUUGUAAUUUGGAGAGGGCAACUUUGGGGCCGUUCCUUGUCUAUGUUCCUUGGAACAGGACGUCAUAGAGGGUGAGAAUCCCGUGUGGCGAGGAGUGCGGUUCUUUGUAAAGUGCCUUCGAAGAGUCGAGUUGUUUGGGAAUGCAGCUCUAAGUGGGUGGUAAAUUCCAUCUAAAGCUAAAUAUUGGCGAGAGACCGAUAGCGAACAAGUACAGUGAUGGAAAGAUGAAAAGAACUUUGAAAAGAGAGUGAAAAAGUACGUGAAAUUGUUGAAAGGGAAGGGCAUUUGAUCAGACAUGGUGUUUUGUGCCCUCUGCUCCUUGUGGGUAGGGGAAUCUCGCAUUUCACUGGGCCAGCAUCAGUUUUGGUGGCAGGAUAAAUCCAUAGGAAUGUAGCUUGCCUCGGUAAGUAUUAUAGCCUGUUGGGAAUACUGCCAGCUGGGACUGAGGACUGCGACGUAAGUCAA
RNAcentral lists this ribosomal RNA (754 nucleotides) under Saccharomyces cerevisiae (brewer's yeast). Its description in RNAcentral is "eukaryotic LSU rRNA". The stretch from base 149 to 754 matches the Rfam family "Eukaryotic large subunit ribosomal RNA", at positions 1 to 609 of the family's 3401-position model. Lineage: Eukaryota; Fungi; Ascomycota; Saccharomycetes; Saccharomycetales; Saccharomycetaceae. The record is from RNAcentral.